RNAcentral lists this ribosomal RNA (381 nucleotides) under uncultured bacterium. RNAcentral describes it as "bacterial SSU rRNA". It matches the Rfam family "Bacterial small subunit ribosomal RNA", at positions 29 to 400 of the family's 1533-position model. The record is from RNAcentral.
AAUGAACGCUGGCGGCGCGCCUAAUACAUGCAAGUCGAGCGAGAAGACGUAGCAAUACGUUUGUAAAGCGGCGAACGGGUGAGGAAUACAUGGGUAACCUACCCUCGAGUGGGGAAUAACUAGCCGAAAGGUUAGCUAAUACCGCGUACGCUCCUUGGACUUCGGUUCAGGGAGGAAAGCGAUACCGCGGGUAUCGCGCUCUUGGAUGGGCUCAUGUCCUAUCAGCUUGUUGGUGAGGUAACGGCUCACCAAGGCUUCGACGGGUAGCUGGUCUGAGAGGACGAUCAGCCACACUGGCACUGCGACACGGGCCAGACUCCUACGGGAGGCAGCAGUAAGGAAUAUUGCGCAAUGGGCGAAAGCCUGACGCAGCGACGCCGC